Molecule: long non-coding RNA, 384 nt
Organism: Rosa chinensis
Lineage: Eukaryota; Viridiplantae; Streptophyta; Magnoliopsida; Rosales; Rosaceae
Exons: 3
Source: RefSeq, a predicted model, not a curated record
UUGCAGGUAGUGUGUAUAACAUCUUAUAUAUUAAUAGUGAAUUGGUGUUUGUUGUUUUUAAGAACUUUGUGAUAUGUAGUGUUUUGACACUUUCUCCUUGGGUAUUCUGUGCAAUAUGCAGGAAUUUGCUUUAACUCGGGCGAUGUAUUUAUAAAAAAAUAUUGUGGUCAAGGCUGCAGAUUAUGUUGAGCAGGUACAUGAUGGGAAAUUGAUGGUGAAUGGUGAAAUUCAAAAUGAAAAUUACAUAUUGGAGCCUCUUGCCUAUGAAAUGGAACCAAUCUUGGAGCUCAAAAGUUGCAUAUAUUCAAGAAGUCGUGAAGACCAAGUUUUGUAAAAUCCUAGAGACAGAGGUAUGGGAGUUUAGGAUUGUGUUCCAAGGUUGGU